RNAcentral lists this non-coding RNA (138 nucleotides) under Chloropicon laureae. Lineage: Eukaryota; Viridiplantae; Chlorophyta; Chloropicophyceae; Chloropicales; Chloropicaceae. The record is from RNAcentral.
AGACGAAGGAAGCGCUGCAGCAAGCGCAGUCCGCGGGCGUGCCGAUCAUCGUGGCGAUCACGAAGAUGGACGUGGCGGGGGCCCAAAUCGAGAGGGUCAAGCAGGAACUCUCUCAAGUCAACCUUCUGCCGGAGGAAU